Molecule: unclassified non-coding RNA, 332 nt
Filed under: soil metagenome
Description: partial contains 5.8S ribosomal RNA, internal transcribed spacer 2, and large subunit ribosomal RNA
Rfam family: 5.8S ribosomal RNA (bases 1-120)
Source: RNAcentral
GAUGAAGAACGCAGCGAAAUGCGAUAAGUAGUGUGAAUUGCAGAAUUCAGUGAAUCAUCGAAUCUUUGAACGCACAUUGCGCCCUUUGGUAUUCCUUAGGGCAUGCCUGUUCGAGCGUCAUUUAAACCUUCAAGCUAAGCUUGGUGUUGGGUGACUGUCCGCCUCACGGCGGACUCGCCUCAAAAUUAUUGGCGGCCGGUACAUUGGCUUCGAGCGCAGCAGAAACGCGAACUCGGGCCCGUCGUAUUGGCUCCCAGAAGCUAUCUUCACAAUUUUGACCUCGGAUCAGGUAGGGAUACCCGCGGAACUUAAGCAUAUCAAUAAGCGGAGGA